UGCCCGUUACGAAUACUUGGUCCAGCUGAUAAGGAAAGCCCAUAAGGGUUUUAAACUUUCACUCCCCUUAGCCGUCAAACCCCUUCCACUCAUCCUGUCUCUCUCCUCCUCAUUCAUUCUCUCUCUCUUCUCGUCACUCAAACUGAAACAGCAAUUCACCACCCUUCUCAAAAUCUUCUUCUUCUCCAACUCUCCCACUAAAAACCCCAAUUCCCAAAUUUCCCCUCUUUCUCUCUCCUCCGAAUUGCAUCAACGGCAGGCGAUGGACCCAAUUUGGAAGGUCGGAUGUUCAAGUCUCGUUACCUAGAAAUGGACAUGGCGAUGAUGUCAUGAUGAUGAUUCAGGUGAAGAAAUCGCUGAUAUGUGUGGGAUUUGGGAUCUCAGUCACUAGUGGAAGGUUAUUCUAAAGACUGGAUUGGUGUUAAUAUUGAUAAUGAAGAAUUGAAGGUCGUAGAAAUGAUGGUUUCAUUAAUGGUUUUGUGGUUUUUUCAUUCUUUCUCAGUGGACCCAGAGAAGAUGCAACCAGAAUUGGUUCUCCUGGUGUUGUUAGGCGUCAAGCUGUUGAUAUCUCUCCACUAAGGCGUGUUAAUCUGGAAAUCUAUCUUCUUACUACUGGAGCUCAUGAGAGUGCUUUCAUGAACAUCAAGACCAUUGCCGAGGGCCUUGGUGAUGAACUCAUCAAUGCCGCCAAGGGUUCAUCCAACAAGUAAUUUCACUCUACCCGUAACCACUGUUGAUGAAUUAAAAAAAUCAUUAAUGUUGCUACUUGGGCUUUAGUCAAUAAGAUGUCUGUUUUGAUGAAUGCUCUAUAGUUAGCUGUGUAUGCUCGUUGAUGUAUGUGUGGGAAACUGACUAGCUGUACAGUUUUUCACAUGCUGAAUUCAAUGUUGAAAUGUCAUUGUUUGAAAACUGUAGUAUUUAAUUGUAUGUAUUCUAGCUUGAAUUAGUAGGGAACUAGGCAGUAGGGAUAGAUCAAGGUGCUAGGCUGCAUUAUUUCUUAUUGGACUGGUUUCAUGUAACGUCGUAAUUCUUAAGUAAUUGCUUCAUGAGCCAUGUAUUAAUGCUACGAGUAUAAGAUUAUAUGGUAAAUUUACUCUA
Molecule: long non-coding RNA, 1098 nt
Organism: Chenopodium quinoa (quinoa)
Lineage: Eukaryota; Viridiplantae; Streptophyta; Magnoliopsida; Caryophyllales; Amaranthaceae
Exons: 3
Source: RefSeq, a predicted model, not a curated record